CAUGUACUUCCUCCGUCCAAUAUUACUUGUCAUAGGAUUGGAUGAUUCUAGACAUAUUUUAGUUCUAUAUACAUUCAUUUUUUUUAGUUUGGUGACAAGUAAUUUCGAACAGAGGGAGUAUAUG
RNAcentral lists this microRNA precursor (124 nucleotides) under Hordeum vulgare. RNAcentral's name for it is "microRNA MIR1122". It matches the Rfam family "MIR1120/MIR1122 microRNA precursor family". The record is from RNAcentral. Lineage: Eukaryota; Viridiplantae; Streptophyta; Magnoliopsida; Poales; Poaceae.